Molecule: ribosomal RNA, 460 nt
Filed under: uncultured bacterium
Lineage: Bacteria
Description: partial 16S ribosomal RNA
Rfam family: Bacterial small subunit ribosomal RNA
Source: RNAcentral
CCUACGGGAGGCAGCAGUGAGGAAUAUUGGUCAAUGGACGAGAGUCUGAACCAGCCACGUAGCGUGAAGGAUGACUGCCCUCGGGGUGGUAAACUUCUUUUAUAGAGGAGUAAAACGAGGCACGUGUGCCUUUUUGCAUGUACUUUAUGAAUAAGGAUCGGCUAACUCCAUGCCAGCAGCCGCGGUAAUACGGAGGAUCCGAGCGUUAUCCGGAUUUAUUGGGUUUAAAGGGAGCGUAGAUGGGUUGUUAAGUCAGUUGUGAAAGUUUGCGGCUCAACCGUAAAAUUGCAAUUGAUACUGGCAGUCUGGAGUACAGUAGAGGUAGGCGGAAUUCGUGGUGUAGCGGUGAAAUGCGUAGAUAUCACGAAGAACCCCGAUUGCGAAGGCAGCUUACUAGACUGUGACUGACAUUGAUGCUCGAAAGUGUGGGUAUCAAACAGGAUUAGAUACCCCAGUAGUC